UAGGGAAUCUUCCACAAUGGACGAAAGUCUGCUGGAGCAACGCCGCGUGAGUGAAGAAGGGUUUCGGCUCGUAAAACUCUGUUGUUAAAGAAGAACAUAUCUGAGAGUAACUGUUCAGGUAUUGACGGUAUUUAACCAGAAAGCCACGGCUAACUACGUGCUAG
Molecule: ribosomal RNA, 164 nt
Filed under: uncultured bacterium
Lineage: Bacteria
Description: partial 16S rRNA
Rfam family: Bacterial small subunit ribosomal RNA
Source: RNAcentral